RNAcentral lists this ribosomal RNA (565 nucleotides) under uncultured bacterium. Its description in RNAcentral is "partial 16S ribosomal RNA". It matches the Rfam family "Bacterial small subunit ribosomal RNA", at positions 355 to 911 of the family's 1533-position model. The record is from RNAcentral.
UGGGGAAUUUUGGACAAUGGGCGAAAGCCUGAUCCAGCAAUGCCGCGUGUGUGAAGAAGGCCUUCGGGUUGUAAAGCACUUUUGUCCGGAAAGAAAUCCUUGGCUCUAAUACAGUCGGGGGAUGACGGUACCGGAAGAAUAAGCACCGGCUAACUACGUGCCAGCAGCCGCGGUAAUACGUAGGGUGCAAGCGUUAAUCGGAAUUACUGGGCGUAAAGCGUGCGCAGGCGGUUUGCUAAGACCGAUGUGAAAUCCCCGGGCUCAACCUGGGGAACUGCAUUGGUGACUGGCAGGCUAGAGUAUGGCAGAGGGGGGUAGAAUUCCACGUGUAGCAGUGAAAUGCGUAGAGAUGUGGAGGAAUACCGAUGGCGAAGGCAGCCCCCUGGGGCCAAUACUGACGCUCAUGCACGAAAGCGUGGGGAGCAAACAGGAUUAGAUACCCUGGUAGUCCACGCCCUAAACGAUGUCAACUAGUUGUUGGGGAUUCAUUUCCUUAGUAACGUAGCUAACGCGUGAAGUUGACCGCCUGGGGAGUACGGUCGCAAGAUUAAAACUCAAAUGAAUU